UGGUGGUGGUGUGGUACGCGCGCGGUGCUGGUGUAGGCGUCGUCCGGGACAGAGAGAGAAAGAGAGGGGGUGGGAGAGAAGAAGAGAGAGAUCGGAGCCGCCAUCCCACGGAGGAAACGACGAGACGUCGUCGCUGUUUCCAAGACUUUUGGCUCGUCCGUCCUCUCGCGACACACCUUCUUACGCGGGGGUCCUUUUCUUCGUCGCGAGUUUUCGCGAAAUCGCGACAUUUCGUAUAUUCUUCUUCUCGGAGAGGGAGAGGAAAAGGAGUGGGAACGAGAGGAGAAGGAGAGGAAAAGGAGGGUGAAGGUCUUUGUCGAGGACAAAAGAGAGGGAAAGUGAAUUUAGGAGGAUGUGAAAAUUAUUAGUAGAUACGCGUUUGAUGAACGGAGAAAGUGUGAUUUUACUGACAGAGGGAUAAAGGGAGAGCAAUAUGUAUAUGGAGUCGGAGUGAAAGAAAGAGAACCGGCGUGCGUAAGCACGCUUCGAAGAAAGCCAGAGGGGUGGCCAAGGUGCUCUCGGAGUCGGCGAUAGGAGUCGGCGAUAGGAGGGGGCGGCGGGGCCAAAGCUGUCACUUCGAUCGCCAUUUUAGCAGCGAGGCGUGCGGUUCCCCCGACAAAUCGAAGCGCCCUGCUAUCGGACCUAGUCACCGCCGGACUCGUUCGCGAAGAAUACGACGGAACAAGGACCGAAGAACAGGAACGAACCGGGCCGGUACGAAAGCAGAAUCUUGGUUCAAGGAGAAUCCGGCGAAGAGAAAUAGAAGGAAACUCUUCCUUUUCUUUUCUCGACUUUUUUAUCAAAGAAGAGAGAAGAAGAAACGAGGAGGAAUCGACGACUCGCGAUGCUUCUGCGCGUUUAAAAGGUCCGCUCGCGCGACUCGGAACGAGAUAUACUUAGAUAGAUAGUUAGAUAGGUUAG
RNAcentral lists this long non-coding RNA (921 nucleotides) under Polistes fuscatus (common paper wasp). RNAcentral describes it as "uncharacterized LOC122522648". The record is from RNAcentral. Lineage: Eukaryota; Metazoa; Arthropoda; Insecta; Hymenoptera; Vespidae.